Molecule: transfer RNA, 72 nt
Filed under: Promethearchaeota archaeon
Lineage: Archaea; Promethearchaeati; Promethearchaeota
Description: Candidatus Lokiarchaeota archaeon tRNA-Gly
Rfam family: tRNA
About the family: Transfer RNA (tRNA) molecules are approximately 80 nucleotides in length.
Source: RNAcentral
GCGCUUGUUGUAUAGUGGUUAGUAUGCUGGCUUCCCAAGCCAGCGACCCGGGUUCGAAUCCCGGCAAGCGCA